Molecule: small nuclear RNA, 103 nt
Filed under: Dasypus novemcinctus (nine-banded armadillo)
Lineage: Eukaryota; Metazoa; Chordata; Mammalia; Cingulata; Dasypodidae
Source: RNAcentral
GUGCUCAGUUCAGCACCACAUAUAGUAAAACUAGACAAUACAGAGAUUAGCAUGGCCCCUGAGCAUGGAUGGCAUACCAAUCAGUAUAGACUCAUGGAUAUUU